AGGCUCGAAAAUAUUGGCAGAAAAUUAGAAAAUGGUUGGAGGAAAUGACAAUAGAACAGAUCGAAUUCAAACCAGAAUUCUUUCUAUUAGGGAUCUUUAAUAAACAAUUUCCCAAAAAAGUUGAGUAUACAAUAGUACAUACUUUGACAGCGGCCAGAUUGGCUUUUGUACAGUGUUGGAAACAACCUCAUGUUCCAUCAGAGAAAAUGAUUAUUCAAAAAAUGUCAAGUUGUGCAGAAAUGGACAAAUUAACUUUGGCAUUAAAAGAUGAAGAAACAUCAAUGUAUUAUGACAGCUGGAACUGCUGGUACGAAUGUAUAGACCAAAGACAGAUUACACAAUAAAGGGCAAAGGAAGAUAUGUUAUAAUUGUAGCAGUGAUUUUAUAUAAU
This is a non-coding RNA of Notechis scutatus (mainland tiger snake), 391 nucleotides long. The record is from RefSeq and is a predicted model, not a curated record. NCBI's taxonomy places the organism in Eukaryota, Metazoa, Chordata, Lepidosauria, Squamata, Elapidae.